Tupaia belangeri (northern tree shrew) is the source of this 107-nucleotide small nuclear RNA. Lineage: Eukaryota; Metazoa; Chordata; Mammalia; Scandentia; Tupaiidae. The record is from Ensembl.
GUGCUCGCUUAGGCAGCACAUAUACUAAAAUUGGAAGGAUACAGAGAAGAUUAGCAUGGCCCCUGCACAAGGAUGACAUGCAAAUUUGUGAAGUGUUCCAUAUUUUU